UCGGAAUAACCUGGCGCUCUGAUACCACUUUGUUGGCCAUCAGAUUGUGAUGCAGCGGAAUUACCAUAUAGAUUUGAAUUCAUGAUAUCAAAACAGAUUGAUAAUGAAUCGAUAAUAAGUCAAUAGUGUAGUAUUAAAGUGGACAAUUAAAGGCGGUUAAUGUAACACCCUGUGUUUUCGAAUGUCAAAGUCAAAGUCCAAAUAGUUGAUGGAAACUUCUGGACAAUCUGUUUCGCUCAGUGCCAUGCCCCGAUGAUUCCGCCAUCGGUUGGGGUGUGACAGUUAAAUUGUCUUGGUACCGAGUAAUGUUCCCGGCAAUAGACAUAAAUACACUGAGAGGAGAAACGGUUGGGAUGGCAGUUGAAUUUUGGCGGGAAUAACCGCCAUUCGAGACCGGUGCCAACCAUCAGUCACACCUCUUCAAAUUAUUACACACAUACAUAUAGGUAUACAUAUAUCCUAGGUUUAAUACAUAACAUAAAUACGAAAUUAUGU
This 495-nucleotide long non-coding RNA is filed under the name Helianthus annuus (common sunflower). RNAcentral's name for it is "sRNA HanXRQr2_Chr16g0756641". Lineage: Eukaryota; Viridiplantae; Streptophyta; Magnoliopsida; Asterales; Asteraceae. The record is from RNAcentral.